GAGCCGGGGUCAUGCUGCUGUAUCUCUAUCCAGCUCUGCACCAGGCACCUGGCUUGGGGCUGGGCACAGAGGAGGAGCCCAAGCCCGUGUGCUACUGAACAGGAUGUGUCCCAGCGUUCUGCGACCUUGAACCUGAGGCCCGGCUCCUCAUCCCGCUUAGGGGAAUGGGGAAAGCACUUUCUUGGCUCUGCCAAGCUGCCACCUGGGUUCCAGUGUGAUGCCUACUACCUGUGUGGGCUUGCCCCAGUCCCUCCCCACCCCAUAAUUCAAACUCAUCCCUUGGGGCUAGCAGGGAUCGGGUUGAGUGCCAAACAUGCAGGAGCAGUCAAUAUAAAGCACCCAGCACAGGACCUGGCAAUCAGUGAGCACUCAGUAAAAGGUAGCUUGGUGCAGACUGUACUCCUAGAGCGACCGUGGGCUGGAUCUCAUAAGCCGCGUCACUUCCGGGAAUGGCAGGAGGGACUAGCCACCGUGCUGCCAGGGUGUGGGAACAGACCAGCUGGGAUCCAGGCAACACAGCCACCCGCACUCCCCAUCUCCUGCAAGGCCCUGAGGACAGACUGGCAUUCCUCUCAAAUCCCCCUGCCCACCCCAGCUGAGCCCUCAGGAGCUUCCCCCAGGCCCUGGGGGGAGGGGGUGGGCAGACCCUGCAGCCCACCAGGAGCUGGGGAGUACUCUGCACCGGGAAGAGCUGAAAGCCCCCGUGCUGCCCCCGCGGAGCCCCCAGGCCAGACACUCCCCACCCCACACCCUCCACGGAGCUGGGAGCCACCCCAGGCCGCCUACCGUGAGUGGCUCUGUGUCCAGCGACAGCACCCUGGCUUUUCCUUGGGAGCAGGGGGUGUCUGUGUGGUCUGUGGCCAGCUGAAUCCAGCCCCAGCGCUGAUCAAAGUUCCGGGCAGUGGUUCCUCCCUUCACGUGGCCCCAGUGUUCCUGGAAUGUCAACAGGGUCACAGGGCCUCGGGAGAUUACACAAUGACCCUGAACUGCUCCCUCGGACGAACACCUGGCGAAGCCAAAGCCCCACAGAGGUCGCGGGCUUGGGGCCUUUAG
This 1053-nucleotide long non-coding RNA is filed under the name Oryctolagus cuniculus (rabbit). Its description in RNAcentral is "lncRNA (ENSOCUG00000033812.1)". Lineage: Eukaryota; Metazoa; Chordata; Mammalia; Lagomorpha; Leporidae. The record is from RNAcentral.